Molecule: ribosomal RNA, 487 nt
Filed under: uncultured bacterium
Lineage: Bacteria
Description: bacterial SSU rRNA
Rfam family: Bacterial small subunit ribosomal RNA
Source: RNAcentral
UGAACGCUGGCGGCGUGCCUAACACAUGCAAGUCGAACGGAACUAGACGCUCGGAGACUUCGGUCAAUGUUGUCUAGUUUAGUGGCGGACGGGUGAGUAACGCGUGGAUAACCUGCCUCAUACAGGGGGAUAACAGUUAGAAAUGACUGCUGAUACCGCAUAAGCGCACAGUUUCGCAUGGAACAGUGUGAAAAACUCCGGUGGUAUGAGAUGGAUCCGCGUCUGAUUAGCUAGUUGGCGGGGUAACAGCCCACCAAGGCGACGAUCAGUAGCCGGCCUGAGAGGGUGAACGGCCACAUUGGGACUGAGACACGGCCCAAACUCCUACGGGAGGCAGCAGUGGGGGAUAUUGCACAAUGGGGGAAACCCUGAUGCAGCCGACGCCGCGUGAGUGAAGAAGUAUUUCGGUAUGUAAAGCUCUAUCAGCAGGGAAGAUAAUGACGGUACCUGACUAAGAAGCACCGGCUAAAUACGUGCCAGCAGCCGC